GGUCAAGUGAAGAAGCGCAUACGGUGGAUGCCUUGGCAGUCAGAGGCGAUGAAAGACGUGGUAGCCUGCGAAAAGCUUCGGGGAGUCGGCAAACAGACUUUGAUCCGGAGAUCUCUGAAUGGGGGAACCCACCUAGGAUAACCUAGGUAUCUUGUACUGAAUCCAUAGGUGCAAGAGGCGAACCAGGGGAACUGAAACAUCUAAGUACCCUGAGGAAAAGAAAUCAACCGAGAUUCCCUUAGUAGUGGCGAGCGAACGGGGAUUAGCCCUUAAGCUUCAUUGAUUUUAGCGGAACGCUCUGGAAAGUGCGGCCAUAGUGGGUGAUAGCCCCGUACGCGAAAGGAUCUUUGAAGUGAAAUCGAGUAGGACGGAGCACGAGAAACUUUGUCUGAACAUGGGGGGACCAUCCUCCAAGGCUAAAUACUACUGACUGACCGAUAGUGAACCAGUACCGUGAGGGAAAGGCGAAAAGAACCCCGGAGAGGGGAGUGAAAUAGAACCUGAAACCGUAUGCGUACAAGCAGUGGGAGCCUACUUGUUAGGUGACUGCGUACCUUUUGUAUAAUGGGUCAGCGACUUAUAUUCAGUGGCGAGCUUAACCGUAUAGGGUAGGCGUAGCGAAAGCGAGUCUUAAUAGGGCGUUUAGUCGCUGGGUAUAGACCCGAAACCGGGCGAUCUAUCCAUGAGCAGGUUGAAGGUUAGGUAACACUGACUGGAGGACCGAACCCACUCCCGUUGAAAAGGUAGGGGAUGACUUGUGGAUCGGAGUGAAAGGCUAAUCAAGCUCGGAGAUAGCUGGUUCUCCUCGAAAGCUAUUUAGGUAGCGCCUCAUGUAUCACUCUGGGGGGUAGAGCACUGUUUCGGCUAGGGGGUCAUCCCGACUUACCAAACCGAUGCAAACUCCGAAUACCCAGAAGUGCCGAGCAUGGGAGACACACGGCGGGUGCUAACGUCCGUCGUGAAAAGGGAAACAACCCAGACCGCCAGCUAAGGUCCCAAAGUUGUGGUUAAGUGGUAAACGAUGUGGGAAGGCUUAGACAGCUAGGAGGUUGGCUUAGAAGCAGCCAUCCUUUAAAGAAAGCGUAAUAGCUCACUAGUCGAGUCGGCCUGCGCGGAAGAUGUAACGGGGCUCAAACCACACACCGAAGCUGCGGGUGUCACGUAAGUGACGCGGUAGAGGAGCGUUCUGUAAGCCUGUGAAGGUGAGUUGAGAAGCUUGCUGGAGGUAUCAGAAGUGCGAAUGCUGACAUGAGUAACGACAAUGGGUGUGAAAAACAUCCACGCCGAAAGACCAAGGGUUCCUGCGCAACGUUAAUCGACGCAGGGUUAGUCGGUUCCUAAGGCGAGGCUGAAAAGCGUAGUCGAUGGGAAACAGGUUAAUAUUCCUGUACUUCUGGUUACUGCGAUGGAGGGACGGAGAAGGCUAGGCCAGCUUGGCGUUGGUUGUCCAAGUUUAAGGUGGUAGGCUGAAAUCUUAGGUAAAUCCGGGGUUUCAAGGCCGAGAGCUGAUGACGAGUCGUCUUUUAGAUGACGAAGUGGUUGAUGCCAUGCUUCCAAGAAAAGCUUCUAAGCUUCAGGUAACCAGGAACCGUACCCCAAACCGACACAGGUGGUCGGGUAGAGAAUACCAAGGCGCUUGAGAGAACUCGGGUGAAGGAACUAGGCAAAAUGGCACCGUAACUUCGGGAGAAGGUGCGCCGGCUAGGGUGAAGGAUUUACUCCGUAAGCUCUGGCUGGUCGAAGAUACCAGGCCGCUGCGACUGUUUAUUAAAAACACAGCACUCUGCAAACACGAAAGUGGACGUAUAGGGUGUGACGCCUGCCCGGUGCCGGAAGGUUAAUUGAUGGGGUUAGCGCAAGCGAAGCUCUUGAUCGAAGCCCCGGUAAACGGCGGCCGUAACUAUAACGGUCCUAAGGUAGCGAAAUUCCUUGUCGGGUAAGUUCCGACCUGCACGAAUGGCGUAACGAUGGCGGCGCUGUCUCCACCCGAGACUCAGUGAAAUUGAAAUCGCUGUGAAGAUGCAGUGUAUCCGCGGCUAGACGGAAAGACCCCGUGAACCUUUACUGUAGCUUUGCACUGGACUUUGAGCCUGCUUGUGUAGGAUAGGUGGGAGGCUUUGAAGCGUGGACGCCAGUUCGCGUGGAGCCAUCCUUGAAAUACCACCCUGGCAUGCUUGAGGUUCUAACUCUGGUCCGUAAUCCGGAUCGAGGACAGUGUAUGGUGGGCAGUUUGACUGGGGCGGUCUCCUCCUAAAGAGUAACGGAGGAGUACGAAGGUGCGCUCAGACCGGUCGGAAAUCGGUCGCAGAGUAUAAAGGCAAAAGCGCGCUUGACUGCGAGACAGACACGUCGAGCAGGUACGAAAGUAGGUCUUAGUGAUCCGGUGGUUCUGUAUGGAAGGGCCAUCGCUCAACGGAUAAAAGGUACUCCGGGGAUAACAGGCUGAUACCGCCCAAGAGUUCAUAUCGACGGCGGUGUUUGGCACCUCGAUGUCGGCUCAUCACAUCCUGGGGCUGAAGCCGGUCCCAAGGGUAUGGCUGUUCGCCAUUUAAAGUGGUACGCGAGCUGGGUUUAGAACGUCGUGAGACAGUUCGGUCCCUAUCUGCCGUGGACGUUUGAGAUUUGAGAGGGGCUGCUCCUAGUACGAGAGGACCGGAGUGGACGAACCUCUGGUGUUCCGGUUGUCACGCCAGUGGCAUUGCCGGGUAGCUAUGUUCGGAAAAGAUAACCGCUGAAAGCAUCUAAGCGGGAAACUUGCCUCAAGAUGAGAUCUCACUGGGAACUUGAUUCCCCUGAAGGGCCGUCGAAGACUACGACGUUGAUAGGCUGGGUGUGUAAGCGUUGUGAGGCGUUGAGCUAACCAGUACUAAUUGCCCGUGAGGCUUGACCAU
Molecule: ribosomal RNA, 2891 nt
Filed under: Pseudomonas aeruginosa
Lineage: Bacteria; Pseudomonadati; Pseudomonadota; Gammaproteobacteria; Pseudomonadales; Pseudomonadaceae
Description: 23S ribosomal RNA
Rfam family: Bacterial large subunit ribosomal RNA
Source: RNAcentral